GAGCCACCCAGCAGCUGGAUAAGAUAUCUGAGGAUCUGUGCCAGUCCAUUGAGGCCAGGAGGAGUGACGCAGGUGUGCGCCACAGGAGUCUGCAGGGUUUGGACAUUGCAAAUGGGAU
Long non-coding RNA from Lontra canadensis (Northern American river otter), 118 nucleotides. RefSeq lists it as uncharacterized. The record is from RefSeq and is a predicted model, not a curated record. NCBI's taxonomy places the organism in Eukaryota, Metazoa, Chordata, Mammalia, Carnivora, Mustelidae. The transcript has 3 exons.